RNAcentral lists this ribosomal RNA (536 nucleotides) under Elassochirus tenuimanus. RNAcentral's name for it is "partial 16S ribosomal RNA". It matches the Rfam family "Bacterial large subunit ribosomal RNA", at positions 1832 to 2620 of the family's 2925-position model. The record is from RNAcentral. Lineage: Eukaryota; Metazoa; Arthropoda; Malacostraca; Decapoda; Paguridae.
UAUAUGAAGGUGUAUAUAGUUUAACCUGCUCACUGAUUAUAUUAAAGAGCCGCAGUAUUCUGACUGUGCGAAGGUAGCAUAAUAAAUUGUCUUUUAAAUGGAGGCUUGAAUGAAAGGUUGGACAAAGUAUCAUCUGUUUCUUAAAUAUUUAUUGAAUUUGACUUUCAAGUGAAAAGGCUUGAAUGAAUUAAAAAGACGAUAAGACCCUAUAAAUCUUUACAAUAAAUAUAUUAUAUAUUUUAAUUUAUAAUUGUAUAAGAUAUUAAAUAUUAUAAUUGUUUCGCUGGGGCGGCGUAGAUAUAUAAAUAAACUGUCUAUAUAUUGAAUUCAAUAAUUAUUGAUUAAUAAAAUUGAUCCUUGAAUAGAUUAAAAGAUUAAGAUACUUUAGGGAUAACAGCGUUAUUUUUUUUGAGAGUUCUUAUCGAAGAAAAAGUUUGCGACCUCGAUGUUGAAUUAAAGUUUCUCUAUGGUGUAGCCGCUAUAAGAGAGAGUCUGUUCGACUUUUAAUACUUUACGUGAUCUGAGUUCAGACCGGA